This 255-nucleotide ribosomal RNA is filed under the name uncultured bacterium. RNAcentral describes it as "partial 16S ribosomal RNA". It matches the Rfam family "Bacterial small subunit ribosomal RNA", at positions 524 to 776 of the family's 1533-position model. The record is from RNAcentral.
UACAGAGGGGGCAAGCGUUAUUCGGAAUUAUUGGGCGUAAAGAGCUCGUAGGCGGCUUAGUAAGUCGGGUGUGAAACCUCCAGGCUCAACCUGGAGACGCCACCCGAUACUGCUGUGGCUAGAGUCCGGUAGGGGAGCGUGGAAUUCCUGGUGUAGCGGUGAAAUGCGUAGAUAUCGGGAGGAACACCAGUGGCGAAGGCGACUACCUGGCCUGUUUCUUGACGCUGAGGCGCGAAAGCCAGGGGAGCGAACGGG